Tachysurus vachellii is the source of this 871-nucleotide long non-coding RNA. RefSeq lists it as uncharacterized. The record is from RefSeq and is a predicted model, not a curated record. The transcript is spliced from 4 exons. Lineage: Eukaryota; Metazoa; Chordata; Actinopteri; Siluriformes; Bagridae.
GUCAAGUUUAAAUGUCAAGUAUUAACCUGUAACAAACGAAAGCAAAAGUUUAACUGAGCUGAAUUUAUAAAAACUGUGCUGAAAACAUUCCAUCUGUCUUAGAGUGAGAUAUCGUCAGAAAAAAGGAGACCAUGGGCCAGCGCAGCUCUAAACAAUUUAAAGGUUCAGACAGACAACUGGUGCAUUGGGGACAAAAUCAAGCUGGCAAUGCGUUUCAGGAUAAACAGGAAUAUAUGUGCCAGCCUUAUGAUGAGCAGGUGAAAGUUGUUGUGAGCGGCGAGCAACAUGUGUGUGCUAUGGAUGGAUCACAGUACGCCAUCAAAGAAGAAUACAAAUGGACCAUAGAAAAACAAUAAGACCACUGAUGAAGAAACAAAGCAGAGAGGAUGAAAUGAUCAAAUUCAAUCAAAUUUCCACAACCUGCCAUAAAAUGUGUUGCUUAUUAACAAGUUCUCGCAUGAAUUAAAUCAGUAACCUAGUCUUUAAAACAGGAUGUACAACAUUUUGAAUAAAAUUUGAAUAUUUACCAUUUGUUAACUGCAUCAUGUUGAUAAAUGUGUUUUUUCAUUCAGUUACAUAAAACAUAGAUUUAACUCUUUAAUGAUUAUUGGAAGACUUUCCUCAUGAAAUCAAAUUGUGGUGUCUGUAAAAGCCACUUUUGAAAAACAAGACAAAAUCAUUACAUAAUAAAAAAAAAUAGGUUUGGCUAGUUAAAAGUGAAAUUUAAAUUUUAUUUAAAAUGAACAAAAUUAAUAUAAUUGAGCUACUGAUGAAAAAAGUAUCUUUCUCUCAGCUGGGAUUAUUUCUCUUCUUUAGGACUUUGUGAAGAAUAUUUACCAUUUUAUCCAAUAAAAGAAAUCUGUGGGCAAAA